This 253-nucleotide ribosomal RNA is filed under the name uncultured bacterium. RNAcentral describes it as "partial 16S ribosomal RNA". It matches the Rfam family "Bacterial small subunit ribosomal RNA", at positions 524 to 776 of the family's 1533-position model. The record is from RNAcentral.
UACGGAGGGGGCUAGCGUUGUUCGGAAUUACUGGGCGUAAAGCGCGCGUAGGCGGCUUUGUAAGUCAGAGGUGAAAGCCUGGAGCUCAACUCCAGAACUGCCUUUGAGACUGCAUCGCUAGAAUCAUGGAGAGGUAAGUGGAAUUCCGAGUGUAGAGGUGAAAUUCGUAGAUAUCGUAAGGAAGACCAGUGGCGAAGGCGGGUCUCUGGACAGUUCCUGACACUGAGGCACGAAGGCUAGGGGAGCAAACGGG